Molecule: ribosomal RNA, 497 nt
Filed under: uncultured bacterium
Lineage: Bacteria
Description: partial 16S ribosomal RNA
Rfam family: Bacterial small subunit ribosomal RNA
Source: RNAcentral
GAUGAACGCUGGCGGCGUGCCUAAUACAUGCAAGUCGAGCGAACAGAUGAGGAGCUUGCUCCUCUGACGUUAGCGGCGGACGGGUGAGUAACACGUGGAUAACCUACUUAUAAGACUGGGAUAACUUCGGGAAACCGGAGCUAAUACCGGAUAAUAUAUUGAACCACAUGGUUCAAUAGUGAAAUACGGUUUUGCUGUCACUUAUAGAUGGAUCCGCGCCGCAUUAGCUAGUUGGUAAGGUAACGGCUUACCAAGGCAACGAUGCGUAGACGACCUGAGAGGGUGAUAGGCCACACUGGAACUGAGACACGGUCCAGACUCCUACGGGAGGCAGCAGUAGGGAAUCUUCCGCAAUGGGCGAAAGCCUGACGGAGCAACGCCGCGUGAGUGAUGAAGGUCUUCGGAUCGUAAAACUCUGUUAUUAGGGAAGAACAAAUGUGUAAGUAACUAUGCACGUCUUGACGGUACCUAAUCAGAAAGCCACGGCUAACUACGUG